This 75-nucleotide transfer RNA is filed under the name Stenotrophomonas humi. Its description in RNAcentral is "tRNA-Thr". It matches the Rfam family "tRNA". From Rfam's summary of the family: Transfer RNA (tRNA) molecules are approximately 80 nucleotides in length. Their secondary structure includes four short double-helical elements and three loops (D, anti-codon, and T loops). Further hydrogen bonds mediate the characteristic L-shaped molecular structure. tRNAs have two regions of fundamental functional importance: the anti-codon, which is responsible for specific mRNA codon recognition, and the 3' end, to which the tRNAs corresponding amino acid is attached (by aminoacyl-tRNA synthetases). tRNAs cope with the degeneracy of the genetic code in two manners: having more than one tRNA (with a specific anti-codon) for a particular amino acid; and 'wobble' base-pairing, i.e. permitting non-standard base-pairing at the 3rd anti-codon position. Lineage: Bacteria; Pseudomonadati; Pseudomonadota; Gammaproteobacteria; Lysobacterales; Lysobacteraceae. The record is from RNAcentral.
GCCGCUCUAGCUCAACGGCAGAGCAGCUGUUUUGUAAACAGCAGGCUGUGGGUUCAAAUCCCACGGGCGGCUCCA